RNAcentral lists this ribosomal RNA (254 nucleotides) under uncultured bacterium. RNAcentral describes it as "partial 16S ribosomal RNA". It matches the Rfam family "Bacterial small subunit ribosomal RNA", at positions 524 to 776 of the family's 1533-position model. The record is from RNAcentral.
UACGUAGGGUGCGAGCGUUGUCCGGAAUUAUUGGGCGGAAAGAGCUCGUAGGCGGUGUGUCACGUCGGCCGUGAAAACCUGCAGCUUAACUGUGGGCGUGCGGUCGAUACGGGCAUCACUGGAGUUCGGCAGGGGAGACUGGAAUUCCUGGUGUAGCGGUGAAAUGCGCAGAUAUCAGGAGGAACACCGGUGGCGAAGGCGGUUCUCUGGGCAUGUCCUGACGCUGAGGAGCGAAAGUGUGGGGAGCGAACAGG